RNAcentral lists this ribosomal RNA (301 nucleotides) under uncultured bacterium. RNAcentral's name for it is "partial 16S ribosomal RNA". It matches the Rfam family "Bacterial small subunit ribosomal RNA", at positions 509 to 807 of the family's 1533-position model. The record is from RNAcentral.
CAGUCGCCGCGGGAAUACAGAGGGUGCAAGCGUUAAUCGGAAUUACUGGGCGUAAAGCGCGCGUAGGUGGUUUGUUAAGUUGGAUGUGAAAUCCCCGGGCUCAACCUGGGAACUGCAUCCAAAACUGGCAGGCUAGAGUAGGGCAGAGGGUGGUGGAAUUUCCUGUGUAGCGGUGAAAUGCGUAGAUAUAGGAAGGAACACCAGUGGCGAAGGCGACCACCUGGGCUUAUACUGACACUGAGGUGCGAAAGCGUGGGGAGCAAACAGGAUUAGAUACCCGUGUAGUCCCUGUCUCUUAUAC